CAAUAGCGUAUAUUAAAGUUGUUGCAGUUAAAAAGCUCGUAGUUGGAUUUCUGUGAGAGUGCCGGUGUCGGCUGAUGCUUGUACGCAGGCGCUCUUACAUCCUUCUGUUAACUGAUCUUGGCAUUUUAUUGCUGGUUCAGGGCUCAGAUAUUUUACCUUGAGAAAAUUAGAGUGUUUCAGGCAGGCUUAUGCCGGAAUACAUUAGCAUGGAAUAAUGGAACAGGACCUGUGCGUCUUUCGGGGCGCCGGUCUCCGUUAUUGGUUUCGGGGACUAAAGUAAUGAUUAAUAGGGAUAGUUGGGGGCAUUAGUAUUUAAUAGUCAGAGGUGAAAUUCUCGGAUUUGUUAAAGACUAACUUAUGCGAAAGCAUUUGCCAAGGAUAUUUUCAUUAA
Molecule: ribosomal RNA, 391 nt
Filed under: uncultured eukaryote
Lineage: Eukaryota
Description: partial 18S ribosomal RNA
Rfam family: Eukaryotic small subunit ribosomal RNA
Source: RNAcentral